UGGACGCAAGUCUGAUGGAGCAACGCCGCGUGAGUGAAGAAGGGUUUCGGCUCGUAAAGCUCUGUUGGUAGUGAAGAAAGAUAGAGGUAGUAACUGGCCUUUAUUUGACGGUAAUUACUUAGAAAGUCACGGCUAACUACGUGCCAGCAGCCGCGGUAAUACGUAGGUGGCAAGCGUUGUCCGGAUUUAUUGGGCGUAAAGCGAGUGCAGGCGGUUCAAUAAGUCUGAUGUGAAAGCCUUCGGCUCAACCGGAGAAUUGCAUCAGAAACUGUUGAACUUGAGUGCAGAAGAGGAGAGUGGAACUCCAUGUGUAGCGGUGGAAUGCGUAGAUAUAUGGAAGAACACCAGUGGCGAAGGCGGCUCUCUGGUCUGCAACUGACGCUGAGGCUCGAAAGCAUGGGUAGCGAACAGGAUUAGAUACCCUGGUAGUCCAUGCCGUAAACGAUGAGUGCUAAGUGUUGGGAGGUUUCCGCCCCUCAGUGCUGCAGCUAACGCAUUAAGCACUCCGCCUGGGGAGUACGACCGCAAGGUUGAAACUCAAAGGAAUUGACGGGGGCCCGCACAAGCGGUGGAGCAUGUGGUUUAAUUCGAAGCAACGCGAAGACCUUACCAGGUCU
This 617-nucleotide ribosomal RNA is filed under the name Lactobacillus gasseri. RNAcentral describes it as "bacterial SSU rRNA". It matches the Rfam family "Bacterial small subunit ribosomal RNA", at positions 372 to 981 of the family's 1533-position model. The record is from RNAcentral. Lineage: Bacteria; Bacillati; Bacillota; Bacilli; Lactobacillales; Lactobacillaceae.